AAUACAGAAUGAACGCCCUUCUGACCUUCAGGUGAACAGAUGUGAUCCCCGAGGAUGUCAGACGGACGGAAGGGUAUGACGGCCAUCAUCGACCGCAAACAACACGAGGCCUCCGGUUGUCUCCUCACCUUCGUCUUGUCUUUCACGUGCAAAAACUAAAAUUAGAUACGACACCCUCAUCCGUGUGCUCCGUGAUUUGAACUCUCCCAAAAUGGCCAUCGGAGAUUGGCACAUAUUUGAAGGUGGUUAGGGAAUUCAGAGUACCGGGUCCAACCACAGACUACACAAGAUGCUCGCCUUUUCAACUCUCAGCCAGUCUCCCGCGCCAUCUUUUAGUGCAUAGCAGGCGGCAAAGCUAAAGACGUCCAAAGCUCAAUCAUUGGAGCCAUGAACUAAACAUAGAGGACACGUUGAUCACAAUAGUCAUUGCAUACAUUGUACAGUAAUUUGUAUAAUAAAAAGAUGAAAUUUGUAUAAAUUUUA
Stegodyphus dumicola is the source of this 483-nucleotide long non-coding RNA. NCBI's taxonomy places the organism in Eukaryota, Metazoa, Arthropoda, Arachnida, Araneae, Eresidae. The record is from RefSeq and is a predicted model, not a curated record.